ACAGUAUAAUAGCUUGGCACAUCAAUAAGGGUGUCUCCACCUCCUGCCGCUAGAUGCUAUAAACAUAAAGCAGGAGACUCAGGAGCACCUUAGGUGUUAAUGCCAGUGCAGUAAAGCUGAACCAGGUCGAUGGAGGGUGUAGCUGCAGAGACUGAGUACAGAGUUUCCAAGUCACUACAUGGAAAUGUAGCGUAACCAGAACAGAGUGUCGCUGGUGCCAGGCAAAGCCGACGGACACUGUUUGCUGUUUUUGUUUACAUGUUUCUAUGGUGAUGGGAGCACUGUAGCUGUACGCCUCCGUUGCCAGGGGCAGGUACGUCAGCGCUAGUCGCAUGUGAAUGACAUCAUCGCGCCACAGCACGGAGCGGGACGGCAAUGAGCGCACACGUCUGGUUCACUUUGAGAGCAGGAUGCCGAACACAGAAGACCUCUCUAUGCACUGCACCUUCUGAAUCAUUGGAAUCGCAGUCAGCACUUGUACUCCUAAGAUGUCACGGGGAAAGAUUACGCGGCUUCUGCCUCCUGGGUGACAGCAGCUGGUGCCAUAUAUGGGAAACAACUGUCUUGUCUCUGUUUCCAGCAGGGAGCAUGACACUGAAGACCAACACCUGGCACACUGUUGCACCAUUAUGGUAGAUAAGCAGAAGAGAGCCCCAGCAGCUAAAAAACGUAAAAGCAUUCUCUAGAACCAAGAGAGGAUGAAGGUUCAAGUAGAAUAAAUGGUGACGGACAGUUACAGUGUAAGAUUUUUACACUGGAUCUGUAGCAGCAAAGACGUGUCAGUUGCCAAUGGCAGCAUUAUUACUGGUGACUGAAAUGCAGCUGUCUUAGAAUGUCCAUAUGCACUUACCCUACCAGCAGCUACAAUUGUUAUUCUUGUACCUUGUGUAUUGAAUUUUCCCAAUGCUAAUUCUGUACUUUCGGUUUCAUGUCAUUAUAAGUUAUUUGCAUCAUAUGCCCUUAAUAGUAUAUAUCACUGUGUAAUAGAUAGCAAUAGAUAUUAAUACAUAAAUGAUAAUAAUACAUUUAAGCAUAUACUAAAUAGUAAAAUAAAAAUAUUUGUGAGUGGAACUUCUUAGCUUGGCCAUUCAUUUCCGACUGCAAAAGCUGCCCUCAUAGUAGUCUAUUGGUUACUAUUGUUAGCCCAUAGUAGCAUAUUGGUUACUCCAUUACAGAUAUUAUUGGGGAAGGAUCCUAAAUCCCUCUCUGUUGCGAUUGUGCAUUAGGUUGGCUGGGUAAUAGCAUAAGCUUUGCAAAGUCACACAAUAAAUAACUGCAUUCAGUUCCUGGAUUGGAAUAAAGUUGGGUAAUGUUGGCUUGCAACCAGAGUUUCGAUUUAUUCCAAAGGUGUCAGAUGGGGUUGAUGUCAGGGAUGUGUGCAGGCAUGUCAGGAUCUUGGUAACUAAACUACACAAAUAAUUAUUUCAGUUCCCUGCUUUGUGCUCAGUGACAUCAUCAUGUUGACACAGGACAGGGUAUUCCUCAAACUAUUACCACAAACUUGGAAGAACACAAUUAAAUCUAAUUGGUAAUAUUAUGCUGUAGACUUAAGAUUUCCCUUCAACAGAACUAAGGGCGUUGCCAAACAAUUAGUAUAACUCCAUUAUUCUUACUGCAACAAACCUUACAAUUGGCAGACUAAGUUUGGGCAGGAAGAGUUUUUUUGGCAUCCACCAAAACUAUAUUUAUCCAUCAGACUGUACUAAGAUGGUGAUGCGUGAUUCGUCACGACAGAGUAUGCAUUUCCACUGCUGCAACCAAGGACAGAUGAUAUUUACAGUAUGUGUUAUGCACUUCAGCAUUUGGCAGUAAUGUUCUGUAAAUGUGGUGCCUAGUGCACCGUGGAUGAGUAGUUGGUGCUCCUAGAUGUUCCCGGUACACAAUAAUAGCACUUACAAUUGGCUGGGGCGGCUCUAUAAGGGCAGAAAAUUGACAAACUGAUUUGUUGGACAGUCACAGACCUAUAGAACCAAUAGAACCAAUUCUACUGCUAGUGUUUGACCAUGAAAAUUGCAUGGCCAAUUACUUCCUUUAAUGCACCUGUUAGCAAUGGGUGUGGCUGACACUGGCAAACACCAAGUAGAAGGGUUGUCCACAUACACUGAUUACUUCAGCUCUUUCAGUUUUCUUUACAAAAAAAAUAAUAACAGGAAAGGCUAAAAUAUAAGCAAAAAUAAAAAUAUGAAUAAGUAUUACAGUAUUAUUAGUGAACGAGGGUGGUUCAAUAAGUAAGGUAACAAGACCUCUCACAUGUGUAAUGUUCUCUAUUUCAUUCUAAUUCCCCACCAGGCCAGAGCAGGUAGACCGCUGUUUCCUCUCACAACCAUUAGACUGCGCCUUAUAUCAGUCAUACUGUCCCAACAUCAAAAAACAAAAACAAAAUUGGGCGCUGAUGUUUAAAUUAAACGCUAGCCGCACAUUCCUGGGGCCUGGUUUGUAAGCCUCCAAUUAAUUUGAAACAAGAA
This is a long non-coding RNA of Pseudophryne corroboree (corroboree frog), 2465 nucleotides long. RefSeq lists it as uncharacterized. The transcript is spliced from 4 exons. Lineage: Eukaryota; Metazoa; Chordata; Amphibia; Anura; Myobatrachidae. The record is from RefSeq and is a predicted model, not a curated record.